RNA transcript from Myotis brandtii (Brandt's bat), 3631 nucleotides. RefSeq lists it as uncharacterized. The transcript has 6 exons. The record is from RefSeq and is a predicted model, not a curated record. NCBI's taxonomy places the organism in Eukaryota, Metazoa, Chordata, Mammalia, Chiroptera, Vespertilionidae.
AUUUGUAAUAACUGCCCGGUGACUUAAUGUGGAAUGGCACAGGAAUGGCAUGCCCUGAUUGCUUAACCCUUUCCCUGGCCUUUGAUUCUGUCGCCUGCAACCUUGGUCUCUCCUGAUGCUGGGGCGCCAGAUCAGUUCUGCCUGCUCCCAGCUGAGCUCGUCUCGCUGGUCCUAUGGUGAUUACUCUUUGUUGUUACAUCAGAAACACUGACUCAUGGAAAUGGAGUUAGGAGCAUCUGUUGUGUCCCUUCGUGCACCCCCACCACCCACCUUCUAGUUCUACUUGCUUAAUAGCUGCUUAUAUUUAUUGUUUGGCUGUGUCUCAGAGUGGGGAUCUUAGUGCUGCACCAGGGCUUGGCAUUUGAGGGAUAAGUCAGAAGUUAAUGUAAAAACAAAAAGCAAACAACAACAACAAAAAAACUACUAAACUUCACCUCGUAAUUUCAAGGGAAACUGAAAGGACAUAGGUCAGAGGGAGAAAAGCUGGAAGCCACUUAGCUGAUAAACACCCCAUGACCUAGAAACAGGGUUCUAACCCCUCCUCUUUCUUUACUUCUGUCCCCUUUCCCUUCUCUCUAACACUCUUCUCACUUUAAUAUAAACCAAGAUUUCUCAACCUCAGCACUAGUCUUUGGACCAGGUAGUUGUCUGCGGUGGGGGAAUGUUCUAUUCAUUGUCUGACAUCCCUGGCCCCUACCCAUGAGAUGCCAGUAACACCCUCUGAGUUGUGACAACCAAAAAUGUCUCUAGACAUUGCCAAAAACCCCUCGAGGGGUGAGAUUGCCCCUGGGAGAGAGCCACAGAUGUAACUCAAAAAUCUAAACCGAUUUCUAGAUUCUGUCUGAUGUAAGCACUUUAUUUUGUGCAGCCACAGGGAAGGAUUUUUCAUGGUUCACCGGCGAGGGACAGACCCUGGGCCAGUGUUCUGUUCACUCCAUUCUGCUGCCUUCCGAGUGCACCUUCCAGCUGCCCAGAUACUGACUAUGGGCUGAACUGUUGGGGAGGGUUUAUCAAUGGAAGCCAGGCCUGGGAGCUGUUACUGCCUGUUUGUGGAGAGAUAAUGCUGUUAGAAGGCGCAUGAGGGAAAAAUCACAAAAGCUUUCAUACCUGUUAUCACAUUCCCCUUCUCCUGCUCUGGGCCCCACACCUAGAGAUGCAGGCAGCUUCUCCAGUUAAUCCCCACACUCCUCGUAGCCUCACGGGAUCUCGGACUUGGAAGAGCCCAUAGAAAGCAUUCGACAUCGGCAGAGACCAAAAGCCUACAAGGGGGAAUGACCUGCUCAAGGAAUUUGCCAGUGUCCCUCUGUGCCUCUGUUUGCUGACAGGUUGGUUACAUAAGGUCUGUGUUGGCUUCAUGGUCAUAAAGUUUUCUUUGCCUGGACAGCAAGUCCUCGGAUUCUGUCAAAUGAGAACCUUAUCCUGAGAUGCAAGUUGACAGGCAUCUACCAAUGGAAUUGGCUUCAACACAGGUCGUCAGCUUCCUGUUCCUGGACACAUUAAAGCAGAAAUGCAAUGCCAUCGGGGACACUAGAGGAAAUUCCUGUCCUGUGUGGGACAUUCUCAGGGCCUGCUCUGAAAGGUUUGGCAAAUAAAGAGUUGGACCCAGACUGAGUUGUGAAGAAGUGAGAUGAGCCCUGACCUCCGAAUGGGAAGAGCGGGGUCCGAGUCCCAGCCCUGACUCUGUGGGACAGCUCCCUCCCCAUCUCUGGGGGGUGGCACCGUCCCUCCCCAUCUUCACGUGAGGGGCUUGGUCCCAGCAUCUCCAGGCGCCGUGUCUUGGGAAAGAGCCUCUGAUCUAUUUUCGUUGGAUGUGCAUGCUCUCCAGGAGGAUUACCAUCCGGCUGACUCAACUGGGCUUAUUCCUUUUGUCUGAUCGCUCUGCUGUCAUAAGGCAAGCUCCGCGGCCAGUUUUAGCCCUUCUUGGAUUAAGGGAGUGUCCAAAUGAAGGUACUGGAGCAUUGGUCACGGUUUCUGCCCAGGACACUUGCCUCCCUCUCCCCUCCCCACCCCACCCUGAUGCUCCCUUCCAUCUGGCACAGACACAGCCCUCCUGCUCCGUGGAUGACACGCUAAGUAGAGUCUGGUUUUCACAUUAGAUGAGAGGAGGCCCUGAAGUCAGAAAUCCUUGGCAAAUGAGUCAUUUGGUCUCUUUGUGCCUUAUUUCCCCAACUCUGAGUAGGCAGAGCUCUCACUCUGUCUCCCUGUGUGAGCCCGGCAGAGGUGGGCUUCUGCGAGGUGGCCCUUCCCCACGGGCAGGUCCCUGCUUUCACAGGGGGCUCACUUGGAAAGCCACAGCCCAGGGGGAUUCUCUAGUAAAAUUCGGUGUCUCUCUGUCUCUCCGCUUCCACACCUGGCCCCCUCCAGACCUCCUGCAGCACGCCCGCCCGCGUGCACUUGCUAACACACAGAAGUCAGCUUUGCCGAAGAGCCUUCCGUGGCUCCCCAUUGCCUUUGGGACAACGGUCUCAGCAGGUGAGUUCGCAGGAAGCGCAGAGGAAACCGACUGCAAGAAUGACACUCCCCACUCCCCACAGACCCCUGCAGGCACUGUGUAUGCCCCAUGGGCCUUCCAGGUGCGAGGCCCUGUGCUGGGGAUAAGCAGAGACAGGCUUGGGCCCUGUGUUUAGAAGCUUAUACAUUUUUCACAAGACAGGUCAACAGGUACCCAACAAUAAUGUGUAUUUUAAUGUUUAAGUACUGGAAGUGCUCUUAGAAAUCAUGGACCUUGCCCAACUGCCUCUCAUUUUACAGUAGUGGAAACUGAUGUCCCAGAAUUGGCGAAUUAUAAAGAAAAACUUGUCUCCUAAGAGGUCUCCCUGCUUCUACUCUGCCUUCACCACCAGGAGCCCCUCUGCACCCUGCAGCCAGAGCCAUCUGUCUGAGCAGCGUGUCACCUGGUCACUCCCACGAGAAAGCUUCCUGUGGCCCCCACUGGCCUACAAUAGAAGCCAAACAUCCUCCCAGACCCGUGGUGCCCAGGGUGUCAGGCCCACGCAUCCCGGUCGUUCCCUGUGAUGAGAAUGUCCUUCCGUUUCAGGACUAUUGGCCCCUCCUCAGGGCUGCCCUCCCUGACCAUCCAUGCAAGGCAGGUGCACCGCCCCGCUCAUUCCCUUCCCAUCACCCUGACUGGAUGUGUUCAGAGCACAUAAUACCGUCCACAUCCUCUUGUUUGUUUACUGAUUUUUCUUCUUUCGUAUCUGGGUCAACUUACUAGAGGCUAAGCUGCAGAGGGCUGAGAUUUGCCGCUUUCACUAGCACCUACAACAUACUUGGCUCAUAGUUGACACAAGAAAUCUUUGCUGAAUGACUAAACCAAGAAAUGAAUACAUAUCACUGGAAAUUUGAAAACGUAAAAUAGCAUAAAGAAGCAAAUAAAAUCACUCAUACUUCCUCCUUCUGGAUAUUACUGCUGUUAGUAUUUUGGAGUAUUUUUUCAGGUCUUUUUUAAUGUAUAUGUAUGAUGUAUAGUGUGUAUUUAACAAAAUUAAGAUUAUGUUAAAUUAUGGUUUGUAUCCUGCUUUUUUUCACUUAUUAUAUUGUAUCUCCACAUGUUGUAAAAUAAUCUUUUAAAAUACUUUUUAAAGUGCUGCAUAAAAUUUCAUAUGGAUGUAAUAAAAUUAACUUACGCAUU